GAUGAACGCUAGCUACAGGCUUAACACAUGCAAGUCGAGGGGCAGCGGGAUUGUAGCAAUACAAUUGCCGGCGACCGGCGCACGGGUGAGUAACACGUAUCCAACCUUCCGGUUACUCGGGGAUAGCCUUUCGAAAGAAAGAUUAAUACCCGAUAGUAUAAGAUUUCCGCAUGGUUUGUUUAUUAAAGAUUCAUCGGUAACCGAUGGGGAUGCGUUCCAUUAGAUGGUAGGCGGGGUAACGGCCCACCUAGUCGACGAUGGAUAGGGGUUCUGAGAGGAAGGUCCCCCACAUUGGAACUGAGACACGGUCCAAACUCCUACGGGAGGCAGCAGUGAGGAAUAUUGGUCAAUGGGCGAGAGCCUGAACCAGCCAAGUAGCGUGAAGGAUGACUGCCCUAUGGGUUGUAAACUUCUUUUAUACGGGAAUAACACGCGGCACGUGUGCCGCUCUGCAUGUACCGUAUGAAUAAGCAUCGGCUAACUCCGUGCCAGCAGCCGCGGUAAUACGGAGGAUGCGAGCGUUAUCCGGAUUUAUUGGGUUUAAAGGGAGCGCAGGCCGCCUUUUAGCGUGCCGUGAAAUGCCGUGGCUCAACCAUGGCACUGCGGCGCGAACUGGAGGGCUUGAGUGCGCGGAAGGCAGGCGGAACUCGUGGCGUAGCGGUGAAAUGCUUAGAUAUCACGAAGAACUCCGAUUGCGAAGGCAGCCUGCCGCAGCGCAACUGACGCUGAGGCUCGAAAGCGCGGGUAUCGAACAGGAUUAGAUACCCUGGUAGUCCGCGCGGUAAACGAUGGAUGCCCGCCGUGGGGGAGUUAUUUUCCGCGGCCAAGCGAAAGCGUUAAGCAUCCCACCUGGGGAGUACGCCGGCAACGGUGAAACUCAAAGGAAUUGACGGGGGCCCGCACAAGCGGAGGAACAUGUGGUUUAAUUCGAUGAUACGCGAGGAACCUUACCCGGGCUUGAAUUGCAGGAGAACGAUCCAGAGAUGGUGAGGCCCUUCGGGGCUCCUGUGAAGGUACUGCAUGGUUGUCGUCAGCUCGUGCCGUGAGGUGUCGGCUCAAGUGCCAUAACGAGCGCAACCCCCGCCCGCAGUUGCCAUCGGGUGAUGCCGGGCACUCUGCGGGGACUGCCGCCGCAAGGUGCGAGGAAGGCGGGGACGACGUCAAAUCAGCACGGCCCUUACGUCCGGGGCUACACACGUGUUACAAUGGGGUGUACAGAGUGUUGUGCCCGCGCAAGCGGGUUCGAAUCAUGAAAGCACCCCUCAGUUCGGACUGGGGUCUGCAACCCGACCCCACGAAGCUGGAUUCGCUAGUAAUCGCGCAUCAGCCAUGGCGCGGUGAAUACGUUCCCGGGCCUUGUACACACCGCCCGUCAAGCCAUGAAAGCCGGGGGCGCCUGAAGUCCGUGACCGCGAGGGUCGGCCUAGGGCGAGACCGGUGAUUGGGGCUA
RNAcentral lists this ribosomal RNA (1450 nucleotides) under uncultured bacterium. RNAcentral describes it as "bacterial SSU rRNA". It matches the Rfam family "Bacterial small subunit ribosomal RNA". The record is from RNAcentral.